This 855-nucleotide ribosomal RNA is filed under the name uncultured bacterium. Its description in RNAcentral is "bacterial SSU rRNA". It matches the Rfam family "Bacterial small subunit ribosomal RNA", at positions 8 to 861 of the family's 1533-position model. The record is from RNAcentral.
AGGGUUUGAUCCUGGCUCAGAUUGAACGCUGGCGGCAUGCCUUACACAUGCAAGUCGAACGGUAACAGGUCUUCGGAUGCUGACGAGUGGCGAACGGGUGAGUAAUACAUCGGAACGUGCCCAGUAAUGGGGGAUAGCUCGGCGAAAGCCGGAUUAAUACCGCAUACGCCCUGAGGGGGAAAGUGGGGGAUCGCAAGACCUCACGUUAUUGGAGCGGCCGAUGGCUGAUUAGCUAGUUGGUAGGGUAAAGGCCUACCAAGGCGACGAUCAGUAGCUGGUCUGAGAGGACGAUCAGCCACACUGGGACUGAGACACGGCCCAGACUCCUACGGGAGGCAGCAGUGGGGAAUUUUGGACAAUGGGGGAAACCCUGAUCCAGCAAUGCCGCGUGUGCGAAGAAGGCCUUCGGGUUGUAAAGCACUUUUGUCAGGGAAGAAAUCCUUUGGGCUAAUACCCUAGGGGGAUGACGGUACCUGAAGAAUAAGCACCGGCUAACUACGUGCCAGCAGCCGCGGUAAUACGUAGGGUGCAAGCGUUAAUCGGAAUUACUGGGCGUAAAGCGUGCGCAGGCGGUUGUGUAAGACAGGUGUGAAAUCCCCGGGCUUAACCUGGGAAUUGCAUUUGUGACUGCACGACUAGAGUGUGUCAGAGGGGGGUGGAAUUCCACGUGUAGCAGUGAAAUGCGUAGAUAUGUGGAGGAACACCAAUGGCGAAAGCAGCCCCCUGGGAUAACACUGACGCUCAUGCACGAAAGCGUGGGGAGCAAACAGGAUUAGAUACCCUGGUAGUCCACGCCCUAAACGAUGUCAACUAGUUGUUGGGGAUUUACUUCCUUGGUAACGUAGCUAACGCGUG